UCAGACAUCCUAGUCGAACGCGAAAGUCCCCUUCGGGGGACAAGUAGAGUGGCGCACGGGUGAGUAACACGUAGGUAAUCUACCUUCGGAUGGGGAAUAACAAUCGGAAACGGUUGCUAAUACCGCAUAAUGCAGCGGCACCUAAUGGUGACAGUUGUUAAAGCGGGGGAUCGAAAGACCUCGCGUCUGAAGAGGAGCCUGCGGCGGAUUAGCUAGUUGGUAAGGUAAUGGCUUACCAAGGCAACGAUCCGUAACCGGCCUGAGAGGGCGGUCGGUCACACUGACACUGACAUACGGGUCAGACUCCUACGGGAGGCAGCAGUCGGGAAUUUUGGGCAAUGGGCGAAAGCCUGACCCAGCAACGCCGCGUGAAGGAUGAAAUCCCUCGGGAUGUAAACUUCGCAAGAACGGGAAGAAUAAGUAGGGGACAAUACCCCCUAUGAUGACGGUACCGUUUGUAAGCUCCGGCUAACUCCGUGCCAGCAGCCGCGGUAAUACGGGGGGAGCAAGCGUUGUUCGGAUUUACUGGGCGUAAAGGGGGCGGAGGCGGUCAGCACAAGUCAAUUGUGAAAUCUCCGGGCUUAACUCCGAAAGGUCAACUGAUACUGUGCGACU
Molecule: ribosomal RNA, 615 nt
Filed under: uncultured bacterium
Lineage: Bacteria
Description: bacterial SSU rRNA
Rfam family: Bacterial small subunit ribosomal RNA
Source: RNAcentral